Non-coding RNA from Citrus sinensis (sweet orange), 181 nucleotides. NCBI's taxonomy places the organism in Eukaryota, Viridiplantae, Streptophyta, Magnoliopsida, Sapindales, Rutaceae. The record is from Rfam.
AAGAUAAGAGCUGGUCAGUUUAGCAAGGAUGCUUGCCCAAGCAUAUACCACAAGAGGGAUCUUAGCUAGUUAAGUAGAAACCCACUUGUGUGUGUGUGUGCAUACAUGCAUUCACUUCCAAAACCCCAAAAAUGGUUGAUAUAGGCAAGUCAUCCUUGGCUAGAAAACUAGCUCUUCAUCU